Long non-coding RNA from Cavia porcellus (domestic guinea pig), 11424 nucleotides. RefSeq lists it as uncharacterized. NCBI's taxonomy places the organism in Eukaryota, Metazoa, Chordata, Mammalia, Rodentia, Caviidae. The record is from RefSeq and is a predicted model, not a curated record. The transcript has 2 exons.
CCGAAAGCUUACUUUCUUCAUUUUAAUUUUAAAUUUAUUUUUAUUAAUACCUGUUUGCAGACUACGCUUGUCACGGACGUUGGUCCAGGCACACAAUACAUCUUAAUUCUUUUCAAUCCCCCUUUCCUCUGUCUGCCUCUUCCCUUCCUCCCUUGAUCUUCCCAUUGCCAGACCCUCGUUUCUAAAAGUGGAUAUAUUUAUAAUAGUUCCGUCUUCGACAAGCUGUUGUGAGGAGUAACAAUGGAGCACAUCACACAAACGCUGACUUUCCUGCAAGUGCGUCUGAGAUCUUGGCUCGGCGGACACGGGCUCGCGAGGCUGCGAGAGGCUCGGGGAGUUGGGGCGGCCCCGGGCGGCCCCGGCCUCCUCGGCUCGGCCUGGCGGGGGCGCUCUCGCGCAGGCGAGGCGAGGAGAGUGCGACGCGGAGCGCUGAAUCCUUUACUGCCGGUGGACACAGCCUGCCCGAGCGGCUUGAAAGCACUGCCACGCGCCCAGCGCCUGCCAGGCCAUCCCCAGGGACGGUGUCUGUCGGCUGGACCGCUGGUUGCGGACGGGUGAUCCAGCUCCAAAGUUCUGCUUUAGAGCCUGACUCCUGGGACCAUUUUCAGUACUGACUGCCUUGGUUGGGUCGCUGGACUCCGCGGUGGUUUGCCUGUGCGGGAGAGUUGUUGGGAUGGCCUUGUGAGGACGCCUUGUAGUCCAAUGUGGACGCCGCUAGAGCUGUUUGCACAGAGAGCUGGGUCUGCGGGGGAUGAGGUGCUGGGAUUUGCGUGCAAUCAGCUGAAGCUGGGCGAGAGGCGCAGACUUCGACACCCUCCUACCCACUAAUCGUUGAACGUGGGCAGCGCGAGCAGCAACACCCAGCAGCUGCGGCCCUGGUGCUGGAGCCGGGGUCUGGAUCGUGCUCCGAAGCAGUCUCCACGGGACCGUUCCAUUUCCUAAAAUCAGGUACGAAUCCAACAGGUUCUGCAACAUAAUCUCAAACGCUGAAGCAAGUGACCAAGGUGUGUUCUUUCUUGUUAUUCAAAAUUCUCAUUCAUGACCUGUUGACCCACAGCCUGUGACCAAGCACAUUGACAAGGAGAGAAGAUUUCAACAUGCCUAGCGGGCAUCUUUUCUUGGGCAAGUAGCAUAGAUAAAGUUGCAUAUCUAACAUACAGCAAGAUUUGAACAUCGUCUUAGAGAAUUAUUUUUUUGUUUCCGAGUUUUUUGAUAAAUGACACAUACCUAUUUGUAGGUCUUAAAGAUGCAUUAGUAUUAUACCACAAACACCAUACCAUGGUCUAAUUACUUUGUUCCUUAAAGGAAUCCUACUUCUUACAAAAGCAUGGACUCGUGUCAGCACUAAUUACCGGCCCGUGCUUAAUGAAAAAAAGCUUUCAAGGAUGAUGAAAAAAUAAACAUGUUGCUACAUGGGAUUAUAAUUUAUAGUCUUUUAAAAACAGACUCCUGUAAUAGCUCCUGUAACUCUCCCCAACCCAAGCACCACCCCAAAGUCUCCACAGUGGGUUGCAUCCCCAACUCUUUUUAUUUUGAGAUAACUCUCACUAAGGUGCCCAGGUAGGCUCAACCUUUCAAUCCUCCUGCCUCAGCCUCCCAGAGCACUGGGCGACAGGUUAUGUGCCACCACACUUGGCUUUCUUUGUCUUUUCUUAGGCUGUGUUGCAUUUCAUGAGUGAGUAGCAAAGUUUGUUACAGGAGAUAGAAUCAGAGCAGGAGCCACAAGAGCCUUGCCAGUAGCUCAGUGGCACCAACAGUCUUGGCCUAAUGCCUUUACAUCCAUUGUUUUUCUUUCACAACCUGUGUUGGCAUAAUAGGGAAACUGAGGCUUUGUCCAAAAGUCGGGAGCAGAGAAGAGGGGAGGACUUUCAAAUCUUUGGAAUUAUACCCAUGGCCAAAAUUUUAUAGUAUCUGGACUCCUGCCUUGUGCUUGGUUUAAGAAAAGGUAAACAAUCCUAAAAUAGCUAAGAGAGAAGGUUGAAUGUUUCCAAAAUAAAGGCACGAUAAGCAAUUAAGGUGAUGGAUAGGUUAACUGCUCUAAUUCAAUCAUUCCACAUUUUAUAAGUCUCACAAUAUCAUAUUGUGAUACAUCGAUAAAAUUAUAUGCAUCAAUUAAAAAUGAAACAUACUCAAGAAGAAUUUAUUAUUCAAAAAAAGGAAAAAGGUAACCAACUUGAUUCUUGCUGUUUUUAUUGGCUUAAAAAGUAAUGCAGAAAAUGUGGUUUAACUCAACCGUAACUUGAGGUUUGCUGGCCUUGAAUUAGAGGCAUCUUUUCUGUAAUUAUUUCCGGCAACAAAGCACUACAUAAAUAUUCUCUCUGAAAGGAUCCCUGUUUUAUGUGGUUGUUUUAAAAAUGUUAACAAUGAUCAGUAUAACACCAUGCAGAAGGCAAGGAGAGGGUAAAGGGGACUAACUAGUGUUUUAACUGGUGUCCUGCAGGUUGUGCCAACAAUUUAAAGCUCAGCAGCUUUAGUUCAUUUUGUGUUUUGUUUUGUUUUGUUUCUAGUUGAUGUUGAAGUAUCUCUCUACUCAGUGCAUAGCAUGAUUCAGAUUGUAACAGAGAUCACUUGGGUUAAAAUAUGAACUGUCCAAAGGUCACAGCAAAGUGAUAGCAAAAGAGGUCUGAGCAAUUCUGAUUCCUAUUUCUGUUAGAAGCUACAGUGCAUUUCUCUUCAGGAACAUAAAUGAUGACGUGCCGCCACCCAUGUGGCUCAAGGUUUUUGGGGUGAAAGACCACAAGAGGAUGAGAAAGAAGGGACAAAGCUAGAGUCAGGUGGCGGGAGCCCUUACCCUCCUGAUGGGAGGAAAGGAACUAACUGGCCCCUCAUUGCAGGGGCCUUUAUUUAUACCAUUUAGCAACUUAAUGUAACACACAGGACACCCUGUUGUCCUGGCAAUCCACUGUUUGGAUUGUCUUGGGGCCAGGUGCUCUUUCUUCUUGGGACAGCCAUGCCCCAGCCUUGCACAUGUGGUCAAUUUCCAGCUUCGGCAGCUCUCAACAAUGACAGAGGAGGCAAGAGGGGGAAAGAUGAGAGCAAGACGCAGAGCUCCUCGUAUGCUACUCCAGGGACUUAGUUGUGAGCUGCCUUCCAGUUGAAGUAUUUCCUACUACUCGAGAAAAGAAAAUGUAAUUUCUAAAGGUUGGGGUCAAGCCUUUGUUGGUCUUGUACAGUAAUGAAUAAAUGAGUCUAUCUGAUAAAUCCAUCUUCUCUCCUGCUUCGCUGUUGCGUUCUUCUUGAAGCCCGUGGUCCUACAAGGUCCUGACCAGGCCCUGCCAUGCCUGCAAGGCCUUCGCUCCUCUUUCAUUCCACGCAGACCUCUUCCUGGAUGGUGCUUGGCACGGGGUGGGGCAGGGAAAGAAGUUUUUACCAAGCAGGCUGAUCAUACUCCAAAAAGACAUUAACAUGUCAAAUCAAUAAUGCUCACAAAAAGGAAAGGUCAUUAUAUUUUAUUAAAAAUACAGAUAUGUGGGAGCCAGGUGCCUGCAGCCUAGUCGAUGCCCAUUCACUGAAAUGGCUCUGAUGAUUUUUGAACAUCUUAACACAUUCACAACCAGGCUGUAACUUGUGUGUCUUCCUUCUGGGCAGCUUGAGCCACCGAUGGCAUGACUGUCCCAUCGGGUGGUUCUCUAUAUUAAUUUUGUUAGUAAAAAGACUGAUAAAAGUGAGUAGAUCUCUUUGUACCACUAGUGGGACAAACACCCCAUGAUUUUGAAGUCAACUGGUAUGAGUUAAUCCAAAUGUUCUUUGGAAGAGAUGAAUUUCUUUCAAGCUGCUGGCUAUACAAGGGUAAUUACAUUAUAUAUUUUAAAAACUUUUUAAGUUUUUGUUUGUAAAAGUUUGCUGAUGUGUUUUGAAAUUUUUUUUGUAGUUUUCUUCUUUUUCUUUUUAUCCUUGAAAUAAAAUGGAUUUGAAAAAUAAAAAUGUAAAUUUAAAAAAUAAGUGAAAUUUUAUUUUUCUCCUCUUUUCCACUUUUUUUGAAAAUAUGUUGGUAUAGUUUUAGGGAGCACUUUUCAGAAUGCUUAGCAGUUUUGGCAACUGCCACACCUAGCUUGCCCCUUGCUAGGCGGCUGAGGGCAGGGGAAGCAGGGGCUGGUGAGUACAGCCCUGUCUGAACUCACGCAGCGGCUCCACCUCAGCUUUUGACUUAAGUCUGUGCCACCAUCUAGAUUGCAUUGCACAUCCCCAUCUGAGCUAAAUCCCAGUAAAAACAAAAUUGUAGGGACAACAGUUAUGAACAUACCUCUCCAGAAGAGUAGCUGGUCAGAUGGACGCUGAGUCUUCUUGGACUUUAUUUGGAACUGACCAUGGAAAGUGACCAUGGACAGCUGAACAGAGAAAUGUGAGCCAGGAAAAGAGGAGAGCCAGGUGUGAGCAUGUCUUUUGCCUCCUCAGGGGCCGUACAUGUACUGUAGCCUGUUCCCUAGUGCUGUCUGCAGCUUGACCAGCUUGGGGAUCUGGGAACAGAGGCAGCUGGGCAGUUAUGGUUGGAGUUUGGAGAGAUGUAAGACUUCUGGUUAGUUUCUUAUUUACUUUAUGCUGAUUACUCUUGGAUACACGGUGCUGAGUCAGAAGCCUAAAUAAUACUAUGUGUGAUGGGUUUCCCAGAGAUGGAUUCCAGAUUGUUCUGUAUGAUGAGCAAAACAUUUCAAGUGUGCAUUUGAUAGUAGAAGAAAAAGCAGCUACAUUUCUUGACAUGAUCUGGGGAGGUAUGCUCAGUGGAAACAAAGAGAUGGCCCUCAUAGAAAAGAAAUGGUGCAGAGGCAGCAGGAAAACGGAAAAAAAAAAAAGAUAAAUCAGGCUUUUGAUUGAACAUAUGUGCAUCUAGCCUAUGACAUCUCUCAUGGGAUCUCUCUGCAUGUGGCUGAUUAAGUGAUUGACAAGGUUCUGAGUCAUCUCAAGGGAUCUAGUAGGCAUGACUUUCCCAUAAUUCAUUCUGCUACAGUCAGAUGCUUGACAUGUUCUCCCUAUGAACCGGCCACUAAAGAAGCUUAGUGAGAAAGGUUACUGUAGGUCACACCACUGAAUGUAACAUUCAUGUGUUCUGGCCUGGAGCUUUAGAGAUUUCUUGGGACUUUGUUAUGCCUAGUGCUGCUUCUCUGGAAGCAGGAUUGGCUCUAGGGUGUUGUCCAAGUUUGGAUGGACAGAGAGGAAGUGGUUUACCUACCCCAAUAGUACCCACUGCACUAUAAAUAGAGGUAAAUUUUUUUUUUAAUCUUUUUGAGAUCAAGUCUCACUAUGUAGUUCAGGGUGGACUUGAGCUCACUUUGUAGCCCAGGCUGGUCUCAAAUUUGGAACAAUUUUCCUGUCUAGUUUCCCAAGUGCUGGGAUUACAGGCAUAUGCCACCAAAGCUAGCAUAAAGAUAAAUUUUUAAAAUAUAAAAAUAAAAAUAAAUAAAGGUAACUACAUACACAAUUCUUUGCUCUAUUAGGUUUCUGAGAGGCAAACAGUGGGAUAAAUUGGAGUUCUUGGACCUUCUCCUGUACCCAGCUGUGGAUAUUUUGAAAUAUGCAUGAAUUUUUGAUCUCUUUUUUUUCCACUUUCUGUUUCAUCCGCUAUGACUGUAUCAUGUUCUGUGUCUUGAAUAAGGUGCAAGUUAGAGAUGUGAUGUUACUUUGAAUUCUGUGUAUUUUUAAUUUCCAAACCCUGCAGACCUAGGACAGAAUAAAGGUUGAUGGAGUAAGCUUAGAGAAGCAGAAAAAAAGAGAAAACAUCUCUGAUUUUUUUUUUUUAAACAGGGUCUCAGGCUGAUCUCUGUGUAUCCUAGACUGGCCUGGAAUUCCCUGUGAUCCCUCUGCCACACCCCCUAGAGGCAAGGAUUUACAAGAGUGUGCCAGCACACUCACUAGCAUUCUCCAAUCUAUGAGGCCCCAAACUCACCAGGGCAACAGAGCCCUGGCUGCUGGGCCUGCUAUACUACCCUAGCCUCAAAGAGGUGACCACAUAACUGGUCAUGUCUGCGGCUCCUGCCUCACCAAAGGCUCCCCUGCUCCCCGUGAGGCAGGAGUCACCUGAGUGUCAGGUGGAAGUCUCAAGAAUAACCAGCUCUCCCCGUGAGGCAGGAGUCACCUGAGUGUCAGGUGGAAGUCUCAAGAAUAACCAGCUCUCACCCUGGGGAAAACAGGGAAUGACAGUAAGCAGUGGGAGCAGGUACUGGGUAUGGUUUAGUAGAAAAAACAGUAACAACAACAACAAAAAGUUCUUGCUGGAGAGGGGGCAAAAAGGAAGCUGCUCUUACGGUUGAUACACUGUGUCAACUUGAGAAGUUUAACUAAGAGACCCAGCAGGGAGCCAGGAUGCUUACUUUGUAAAUAUCCUCAUCCUGUGCACAAAGAGGGCACAGAGAUUUUGUGAGUUCCUCACCCAUCCUGGAGAGGGGGAUGUCCUGUGUACAAUAUAAAGGAGGCUGGCUCUUUCCCCCUUUUGCUCUGGCUUCAUUUCUUGGCUGCUGCCUUGAAGUGUUGCCCCUGUGUUAUGCCACCCUGCCUUGGAGCCAGCUGAUUAAGAACUGAAACCUCCACAAACAGUGAGCUAAAUGAACCUUUCCUUCCUUCUUCUGGGUCCCAGUUAUUUUGUCUCAGCCAUGAGAGAAAAGUAACUAAGACACCAAGGAAGCACCUGAGUCUAGAAGCCUAUAUCCAGCUUGUUGGCACAUGCUUGCAAGAGCAGAUGAAGGGGCUGAAGGUGGGUGUAAGUGCAGGUUUGUUGCUGCCUCCAGGCAGUGGAUUUUAUCAGUCCUUUGUCUCCCACUCUACAGUUUCCCUCAAGGGUUACCUCAUCUUGCCUUUAGUUUACUGAGGAACUUUGUGCCAUUAUCUCCUGGUCCCAAGAGACCAUGGCAGGCUUGGCCUUUGAGGAGAAAGGGCUGAAGAUGGCCAGAGUAGACCUGCUGACUGUGAUCUAAUAGCGGCAAAAUCCUGGCAGGGACGAACCCCUUCACAUUGGAGAGCAAUUUCCUACCAUUCCAGUAGAUUAAGGGUGCAGACAGACAGGGGAAGACUUCAAGGUCAUCAGCGAAGCCUGUGCAGGUGAGGAUGAGGCUGGAGGUGGAGACGGUCUGGGAUUCAGUGAGAGGGAGUCCCCUUGCAGGAGGAUGAUGGUCGGUAGAGCUGAAGGGGUCCCAGUGAAAGGGUUAACUCCCUAACUCCCCAGAGCUAUCAGAGCAGAGCAGAAAGAAAUGCCUAACUCCCCAGAGCUAUCAGAACCGAGCAAAAAAAGAAUGCACCUGCAAGGUUGUUCUGUCUCAACGAGAUAAGUAAGACAAGUAACUGUUCUGUUCUGGGCACAUAGUGACUGGGCUAGGACCCCGUCUCCAUGGUUACUCAACCCCAAACCCCUCCAAUCAACUUCUGCCAAGUCCUAUCCUGCUCAAAAUUAACCAAUGCAAUCUGCUUCUGUAAACUCGCUUGCCUCCCGUUUGUGCCCUUAAAAACCCUGCACAAUUCCCCCUCGGGGCCCUCCGCACUUGUUUGCCUGGGGGACCCCAUGCGCAUGGAAAUAAACUUUUUACUCCUCACUACGAGCUGAGUCCUUGGGGUCUUCUUCCCUGCGACGCCGGUCCUUACAUUUGGAGGCCCCAGCGAGAUCAAACUGAGAUCAGACCUCCUCGCAGAGGGAGACCCCAACGGCACCUCUCUGGGGUAAGUAGUACGGCCGGUUUUUGUUUACUUUCAUUUUGGAUCGAUCCGCCGUUUCCUUUCGUCCCAGGCCGAACUCCGGCUCUACUUCAGGGGCAAAUUCUGUUCUUGGGUGAUCGGGGGACGCCCCACACGGUUUUCCGUGACUCACCGUCUGCGAUAGGAUUUUCCUAUCGGUCUGGGGAAUUUCAUUCCCAAUCUGUGGUCUGUCUGGGCCAAUCUGGGGAAUUUCAUUCCCAAUCUGUGGUCCGACCGGGUCAAUCUGGAGGCACCCCCUAAGGUGACUUGUCUGAUGUGAAACUAAUGCGUGAGAGUGAGGUGGCCGGCCUGUUUGUCCUGUGUGUUGUGACUGUUGUGAUUGGUUAUUUGUUGUGUCGCACGUACGCUAACCACUCUUUGUCUUCAGAACACCAUGGGACAAACGACAUCGUCCCCAUUGUCCCUCACCCUCGACCAUUGGUCGGAGGUUCGAGAGAGGGCUCACAAUCUCUCCUUACAGGUUAAAAAAGUAAAUGACAGACUUUCUGCUCAUCUGAGUGGCCCACAUUCUCCGUGGGUUGGCCACCGGAGGGGACUUUCCACCUUCCCCUCAUCUUAGCAGUUAAGAACAUCAUCUUCCGCCCCGGACGAGAGGACCACCCCGACCAGGUCGCCUACAUCUUGAUAUGGCAGGACCUCAGGAAAAGCCCCCACUGUGGGUAAAACCCUUCCUUCCUCCGCCCUCUCCUUGGUUGCCUGUUUAAACUUGUUACUAACUUAGGGGCUUGUUGCCCAUUUCUGUUGCAGGAUCCAUAUGGCUUAUUAGAUUCAAGGUUCAUGAUAAAAAAAAUUAUUUCCUUUAGCUGACCAAACUAUGCAAGAAGCUCCCUUUGUUUGUGUCUUUAAUGUUGUGACACCUUGUUUAAUAUGUAAGACUUCAAUUGAUUGCUUGCAACCUCAGCAUGCCUUUUAAAAGGAGUAUUUUUUCUCUCUGGUGAAAAUGUAAACAUGUGCACAUAUAUAUGUAUAUCUAUGGUUAUUAAAAAUCAUAUCAACUUUACCAAGUAAAACCAGGUCAUACUGUAAUUGAGCCAGUAAAAAGGUUAUAGUUUAAAAAAAACAGCAUUUUAAUGUGGUAAAAAGACAUAAAAUAAUUAAAUAUGAUUUAGACUACUAGAAGGUGACUUCAAGGGUUCUGUUGUGAGUUUUAAUGUUGUCUGAGAAGUGAGAAAAAAGGUAAUUGACUGGUAAUAGUAAAAAGAGGGACAAAGAGAGUGGUCUUCAAGUAAAGGUGUCUGGCUAUGCCAGAAUGUAAAAAAAAGAUUAAAGCUUAGUUUGAGAGGUAUUAUUGUAAGUUGUAAAAGGCUCAAGAGGAUGUAAAUUUUAUUUAUCUUGGUUUAUAGUACUACAAAUAACAGGUUUGACAAAAAGUAAAUCUGUUCAGAAUUUGACAGUAUUAGAUCAGUUUUGGUAAAAGUAUUCAUAAGAUUGUACUUUGCUGCAAAAUGUUUCCAUUAAAAUGAGAUUAUAGGUGAUACUAAAAAUAAGAUACAAGUUCUUACAUGUACUGUGAACAUCUGGGAGAUUAUGCAGUACAAUUUUGUUACCUAUAAAAAAGCCCUUUUUGUUAAGAAUAUAAUUUUAGUAAAAUGAUGGCCUGCCACGUGACACCCUUGGACAAAAAACAGUGUGCCAUCCAGAUGAAGCUGGCUCUCUGAUCCGGAAUGCCAAAACCAUGUUCUCCUUUUGUGCCACCCUGACUGGACAUCCAGAGGUAAGGAGGUUUCCCAGUAUCGCCAGUUGUUCUCUUUGUAACUCAGUUGGCCCCACAUGUUAGACAAAAAUUACAAAGGUUUGAGAGGUUUAAGAAAAUGCCCCUCAGCCAGUUAAUAGAGAUAGCACAAAAAGGUCUUUGAGAACUAAAAAAUUUACAAAAAGAUAGCCAAGAUGUUAAAAUUGCUCUAUGAGAAAAAACUUUUAAAAAACAGACGAGAGUUUCUGGGGGCAAUUGGAUACUGUAGGCUAAAUUUUACUGAAAAGCUUGCCUCUAUAUGACUCCCAUAAGGGAGAAACUCAAAAUUCGCUGAACUGGACUGAUAAAUGUAAACAGGCCUUCCAACAGCUCAAGCGGGCCUUGACAGAGGCCCCAGCCCUGGGACUCCCUGACGUUACCAAGCCUUUCAUCUUGUUCAUAGAUAAACUCAGGGACAUUGCCAAAGGAGUCCUAACUCAGGACAUUGGCCCUUAAAAGAGGCCUAUAGCCUACCUCUCCAAAAGACUUAAUCCAGUAACAGGGUAUGGCCCCCUGCCUUAAAAUACUAGCUACUGUGACAAUGUUACUUAAGGAAGCGAAGAAACACGCUUUGGGCAAGUGAUUUCUGUGGUAACCUCUCACAGUUUAGAGACUCUUAUCAAAACCCCUCCUAAAAAAAGGCUCUCCAAUGCCAGAAUUCUACUGUCAAGUCCUGCUUCUAGACCCAGAGUCAAUGAUAUUCAAGACUUCUUCAGCUUUAAACCCAGUCACCCUUAUGCCUGAUGAUGACCUGGAGAAACAAAGGACACCUCUCCAUGAGUGUGCUGACAUCCUCAAACUGCAGCGGAACCUACAGGCUGAUCUUACUGACCAGCUUUUGGAAAAUGCCGACAACUGUUCGAUGGAAGCAGCUUCAUCCAGAACAGCAGAGACAGAUGAGUGGCCGGGACAGCAGUGACCACCAAAAAAGAGGUACUCUGGGUUAAAGGGUUAGAGCCUGGCUCCUCUGCCCAAAAGGCGGAGCUCAUUGCUUUGACUGAUAUACUAAAACUAGCCACGAAAAAGAGGGUAAACAUCUAUACUGAUAGUAGAUAUGCUUUUGCUACUAUACAUAUACAUAGAGCCAUCUAUUAAGAGCGAGGUCUCUUAACCUCGGCCAGAGCUAAGAUUAAAAAAAAAAAAAAAAAAAAGAGGGCUCCACAAAUCCUAAAUUUGCUGGCAGCAGUCUGGCUGUCAGCAGAUUGCUGCUAUUCACCUGAGGAAGCAAUUUGGCAGAUCAGGCCGCUGAAAGAGUAACAAUCACAUCAGAGAGGCCAGCCGAAAAAGUAACUGCUCUGAUGCGAGUCCCCCCGACCUUAUCAGAACCAGUCUACACACAAAAAAAAGACUACACUGGUUGUUGUGAGCCAUCUAACGGAUUCCAGUCCCUGUGACUAAAAGACAAGUACAGAAUUUCUAGGAGCCACAGGACUGAUCCAGAGUUUGGGACCCUGGCAGAGGCCUGUUGCCUACCUUUCCAAGAGACUUGGUUCUGUGGCAGCCAGAUGGCCACCCUGUCUGCGGUGAUUUCAUCAAUGGCCCCCUCAUAAAGGAGGCUUAAAAAUUGACUUUUGGACACAAACUCUUAAUUGUUUUCUCCUAUUCACUGAAGACUCUCAUCAAGGUCCCACCAGACUGAUGGAUGUCUAAUUCCUGAGCCAUACAUUAUCAGGCACUAUUUCUAAAAACAGCAGCUUCAAACUCGGCUACUUUGCUGCCUGAGGAUGACCCCUCGUUGCCUCAUUGAUCACCUCACGGAACAUCGACCUUAUCUAGUUGAUAAGCUACUGUCUAGAGUUCCAUCCUACUUCUCUGAUAAAAACAGUUAUGUCUCUCAAGAGCCCAUUUACACUUAAAAAGACCAGCAUCUGGCAGCUCAACUUCCAAGAGAUUCCGGGGGCUAAUAUCAAGCUAGCCCAGUCUGUGAGCUUCAGAUGCCCUCAGUGCCAAUUGGUAAAUCUAAAAGUACUGCAACAAAUAAAAACCACUGGUUAUCGUGGGACUAUGCCUAAAAA